GUAUCCACAGGCUUCAGGGACCGACCUGCCAGCAGUUGCCCCUGCCAGCAGUUGCCAGCCGAGCUCUGCUGCAGGUUCUGAAGAGGGGGAUGAUGAGCAGCCUUCCUGCUCACAUGCUGUGGGACAGGCAACUGGACAGCCACAGGCUCCGAAGAGGGACCACUCCCCUUCAUCCUCUUCAUCGGAUGAAGACACAGAAGAGCCUAGUGGUAGUCGGUAAGCUUUGUGUCAUUUCAUAAAUGAAUAAAGGGCAUGUUUAUAUGAGCAUGAUUGAAAGCUUGUUGUUUCAGACAGUGCUGUCAAUAUGUGUUCUUAUAAUGUGUGAAUGUCUAUUUCAGCUCUGCGAUUGAAAGGAAGCGGAGGGCUAAGUCCACCUGGCUUAGUUUUCUUGACCUGUUUCCGGUGACUGUUCAUGCCACGACACCCACAUCUGAGGAAAUUGUCGGCGGUGGGUUUGAUCGGGAAUCCCUCCGUUACUUUCACAACAAAUGGAGGACAGUCCAGCGGGAACAGCGCAUCCAAUAUAUCUUGGAUAAGUGCAAGUUCAGGAACCGCCCCUCAGAGGCCAGGGUAUACCAUCUGCUCCAUGCUGAGAACUGGUCGGCCAACUGUCCAAGCGCCAUGGAUGUGGUCAAGUCUUGGGUCCCCGUAAAGGACCACAUCAAGAGUCCAGACAUUAUCCGCCGUAUUCAGGAACAGUCUUGGAAAGGACUUUGCCUGAAAGACUUUGGGCCACCAAAGAACUGUAAUGGGUUGGGAGCAGUAGCUCUCCAGCCCAGAAGGUUUUAGAACCCAAGUGCUGAGCAGUGGAUCUCAAAGCAGGUAAACCCAAGAAAAAGGAAAGUAAUAAUAAUAAUAAUAAUAAUAAUAAGAAGAAGAAUUAAUAUAUAAUUGUAAAUAUAUAUAUUAAUAUUAUAUAAUAAUAU
Astyanax mexicanus (Mexican tetra) is the source of this 926-nucleotide long non-coding RNA. RefSeq lists it as uncharacterized. The record is from RefSeq and is a predicted model, not a curated record. NCBI's taxonomy places the organism in Eukaryota, Metazoa, Chordata, Actinopteri, Characiformes, Acestrorhamphidae. The transcript is spliced from 3 exons.